GUUAGAGGAGGCAGAAGAGUUGAAAUUUCAAUAUACGAUAUUGUUGUUGGUGAUGUUGUACCCCUCAAUAUUAGUGAUCAUGUCCCUGCUGAUGGAAUUCUAAUCUCUGGUCAUUCACUUGCACUAGAUGAAUCUAGUAUGACAGGAGAGAGUGAUAUUGUUCACAAGGAUGCCAAACGACCUUUUCUAAUGUCUGGCUGCAAAGUGGCAGAUGGAAGUGGGACUAUGCUGGUAA
Long non-coding RNA from Hibiscus syriacus, 235 nucleotides. RefSeq lists it as uncharacterized. The transcript is spliced from 3 exons. The record is from RefSeq and is a predicted model, not a curated record. NCBI's taxonomy places the organism in Eukaryota, Viridiplantae, Streptophyta, Magnoliopsida, Malvales, Malvaceae.